RNAcentral lists this ribosomal RNA (419 nucleotides) under uncultured eukaryote. RNAcentral's name for it is "SSU rRNA". It matches the Rfam family "Eukaryotic small subunit ribosomal RNA", at positions 592 to 1018 of the family's 1831-position model. The record is from RNAcentral.
CAAUAGCGUAUAUUAAAGUUGUUGCGGUUAAAAGCUCGUAGUUGGAUUUCUGCUUGGGGCGGCCGAUGUGCCUUCUGGGUUACAGCCGGUUCGGCCUGAGCAUCUUCUUGGGAAUCGUGUCUGCACUUGACUGUGUGGCACGGGUUCCAGGACUUUUACUUUGAGGAAAUUAGAGUGUUUCACGCAGGCGUCCGCCUUGAAUACGUUAGCAUGGAAUAAUGCGACAGGACCUCGGUCCAUUUUGUUGGUUUCUUGGGUUGAGGUAAUGAUUAAUAGGGAUAGUUGGGGGUAUUCAUAUUUAAUUGUCAGAGGUGAAAUUCUUGGAUUUAUGAAAGAUGAACUUAGGCGAAAGCAUUUACCAAGGAUGUUUUCAUUAAUCAAGAACGAAAGUUAGGGGAUCGAAGACGAUUAGAUACCAU